Molecule: ribosomal RNA, 27 nt
Filed under: Calodecaryia crassifolia
Lineage: Eukaryota; Viridiplantae; Streptophyta; Magnoliopsida; Sapindales; Meliaceae
Description: partial 26S ribosomal RNA
Source: RNAcentral
UGCGACCCCAGGUCAGGCGGGAUUACC